AUGAGCUCGUAUAUUACUUGAUUUUUUUUUUUUUUUGCAGUUUCUGCCUUUGCGUUGACCUUCCUCCCAGGUGAGCUUAUCUUCUGACUCCAUCUCUUACCCUUCCAGGCUUCUCAAAGUUUUCUCAUCACCCCAGCCAGAGGUAACUCUCCUUCCCCAAACUGCUCAACAGUGUAGUUAAGGUUUGCAGUUUCAGGUACUGGAUGAUCUCUAUUUAUGCACGUUUCUCAUCUGUUCAAAGAGAGGGCUGGAUUCAGUGCCCGAAAAGGAAUCCCAAAGCCAAAUGCAAUCGGUUCACCAUUACCUGAGGAUGCCCUGUGUUCUGCACAAAGGCUCUGCCAAAGUAGGUGCUCAAUAAAUAUUUAACACCUUAAUUGACGAAUGAUAACAGAGAAGAAGACUGCAACUGGUGAGACAAGAGCGAACUUGCUUCUCAGCGAAGGGUGACUUUUGGCCCUCUUCCACUUCCCUACGUUUCACAGGUCCAGGGUCACAGCCCACUACGCCACCAGACCCUAGGAAGGGAAAGGCACUACGCAUGCCCGGUAUCCAGGGGCGCCUCCGGGCGCGCAGCUCGCUCGGCCCCGCCCCUCCCGUCGCUCGGGUGCGCGCGUGCGCGGCCCCGCGGAGCGUUCCCUGCGUGCGGGUGCCCGCCGAGCCCGCCGAGCCCGCCGGGCGCUGGUUCCCCGAGUGCCCGGGCCGGGGCCUGAGGAGCGGGCACCGAGCCGGGGCAGCGAGCAGUAAGCAAAGCAGACGGCGGGCGCUGCCUGAGGCGACAAGGACAGCGAGCGAUAGAUGCUUGUUCUGCACUCCUAGCAUGCUGAAGCAACAGGUGAGGCCAUCCUCCUUUCACAUGGUAACCUCUUUAGGAGGAGCAGCACAGAGUAGUGAUAAGACUUGGCCACAUGCUGGGACUCGCCUGGUGGCGCAGUGGUUAAGAAUCUGCCUGCCAAUGCAGGAGACACGAGUACGAGCCCUGGCCUGGGAAGAUCCCACAUGCCUUGGAGCAACUAAGCCCGUGUGCCACAGCUACUGA
RNAcentral lists this long non-coding RNA (1036 nucleotides) under Delphinapterus leucas (beluga whale). RNAcentral describes it as "lncRNA (ENSDLEG00000016584.1)". Lineage: Eukaryota; Metazoa; Chordata; Mammalia; Artiodactyla; Monodontidae. The record is from RNAcentral.